UGGGGAAUAUUGCACAAUGGGCGAAAGCCUGAUGCAGCAACGCCGCGUGAGUGAUGAAGGCCUUCGGGUUGUAAAGCUCUGUCUUUUGGGACGAUAAUGACGGUACCAAAGGAGGAAGCCACGGCUAACUACGUGCCAGCAGCCGCGGUAAUACGUAGGUGGCAAGCGUUGUCCGGAUUUACUGGGCGUAAAGGAUGCGUAGGCGGAUUUUUAAGUGAGAUGUGAAAACCCUAAGCUUAACUUGGGGACUGCAUUUCAUACUGGAAAUCUAGAGUGCGGGAGAGGAGAAUGGAAUUCCUAGUGUAGCGGUGAAAUGCGUAGAGAUUAGGAAGAACACCAGUGGCGAAGGCGAUUCUCUGGACCGUAACUGACGCUGAGGCAUGAAAGCGUGGGUAGCAAACAGGAUUAGAUACCCUGGUAGUCCACGCCGUAAAACGAUGAGUACUAGGUGUAGGAGGUAUCGACCCCUUCUGUGCCGCAGUUAACACAAUAAGUACUCCGCCUGGGAAGUACGAUCGCAAGAUUAAAAAC
RNAcentral lists this ribosomal RNA (531 nucleotides) under uncultured bacterium. Its description in RNAcentral is "partial 16S ribosomal RNA". It matches the Rfam family "Bacterial small subunit ribosomal RNA", at positions 355 to 900 of the family's 1533-position model. The record is from RNAcentral.